This 622-nucleotide ribosomal RNA is filed under the name Flavobacterium sp. Ri1Pw_5672. Its description in RNAcentral is "bacterial SSU rRNA". It matches the Rfam family "Bacterial small subunit ribosomal RNA", at positions 392 to 1015 of the family's 1533-position model. The record is from RNAcentral. Lineage: Bacteria; Pseudomonadati; Bacteroidota; Flavobacteriia; Flavobacteriales; Flavobacteriaceae.
CCAUGCCGCGUGCAGGAUGACGGUCCUAUGGAUUGUAAACUGCUUUUAUACGAGAAGAAACACUGAUUCGUGAAUCAGCUUGACGGUAUCGUAAGAAUAAGGAUCGGCUAACUCCGUGCCAGCAGCCGCGGUAAUACGGAGGAUCCAAGCGUUAUCCGGAAUCAUUGGGUUUAAAGGGUCCGUACGCGGUUUAAUAAGUCAGUGGUGAAAGCCCAUCGCUCAACGGUGGAACGGCCAUUGAUACUGUUAGACUUGAAUUAUUAUGAAGUAACUAGAAUAUGUAGUGUAGCGGUGAAAUGCUUAGAGAUUACAUGGAAUACCAAUUGCGAAGGCAGGUUACUACUAAUGGAUUGACGCUGAUGGACGAAAGCGUGGGUAGCGAACAGGAUUAGAUACCCUGGUAGUCCACGCCGUAAACGAUGGAUACUAGCUGUUGGAAGCAAUUUCAGUGGCUAAGCGAAAGUGAUAAGUAUCCCACCUGGGGAGUACGUUCGCAAGAAUGAAACUCAGAGGAAUUGACGGGGGCCCGCACAAGCGGUGGAGCAUGUGGUUUAAUUCGAUGAUACGCGAGGAACCUUACCAAGGCUUAAAUGUAGAUUGACCGUUUUGGAAACAGAACUUU